CAAAUGGACUGCACACAUCAGUAUGCACUAAAGCCAGUACCUCAGUGGUCCUUUCCCUAUGUCCUACAAAGGGUAGCUUGAUCAUUUUUUUCUUGAAGACAAGACCUAUAGACUAAAAUCGACUCAUCCGAGAAUGAAUCUAAAAGAUCAUCUUUCAUCAGUCUAUUAAUCUUUUUUUCUUCAAUAUGACCUAGUCUAAGAUGCCACAUAUACUUUAGGUUAACCUCAUCUUAAGAGAUCCAACGGUACUCACAG
This 255-nucleotide long non-coding RNA is filed under the name Elaeis guineensis (African oil palm). RNAcentral's name for it is "long non-coding RNA (EGUI_LNC036570)". Lineage: Eukaryota; Viridiplantae; Streptophyta; Magnoliopsida; Arecales; Arecaceae. The record is from RNAcentral.